UUUCACCAGAAGAGCAGUCAUAUGUUACUAAGAUUCUUGUUUUCAUUAUUCAUGGUUUACACUUGAGAAUUCAGCAAGUUAAAUGCUUUAGAAUCUAUUAUGAAUAGUCUCUGUUCUUUUUAAAAAACAAAGAAUAUUGUUUGUGUUAAAAUGAGAUUCUUCAAUCCAAAAUAUUUUCUUGGUUCCAACCCUCCACAUACGAAGUGCCAGAAAGCUUCAUCCCUAGAUAAAGAAGGUGAGACUGGAGGAGGAAUCAAAUGUUAACCAAGCUCCCAAGUCUCUUCCUCCACACUUUUCUAUAACUCAAAAUGUUGCCAUUUGGAUGAGAACAGUGAAAAGAAUAAUGCCUGAGAAAAGUAACAGACCAUUGCAUUGGAUUUCCUCACCUGAAAGAAUUCCCAAAAGUUGAGAACCCCUGUUAGAUUAACCAUGAGUGCCUAACAUAGUCCAUGUCCAGCCCUCAGUUCUGGCCACACCUUUUUGUAUGGUCAGAGCCCCUGGCAUGAAUGCUCUUUCACUAAAAUACCAAAAUGUCCAAAAAGGCUUACAAGCUACUGUGUGGCAAGGAGAAGGAUGCUGCAAUGGUGGUCAGAGGAGAGAGUAAGACCCAAAGCUCAGCAUUUUAAAUGACAGUGAAUGCUACUGCACUGCACAGGUGCAUCCAAGGACAAAGGUAUAAUCUGCUAAUUAAGGGACAGCUCUCCUUUCUUUGAAUGAUUCCCAUAGAGGAUCACUGCCAGAGCCCGCAUUUCUUCUAUCUGCCUUACAGAUUCACCAUGAGAAAAGGGGAAGACCAGAAAAAUUAAAAAUCACAUUCAUGGAAAGCUGCCAGAUAACAGUUAUUUAAUAGGUACUUGGCAUUCAUGACCUAAUUUAAUUUUCAUUAUAACAUUGUGCGAUAGACGUUAUUAUCCCUAUUAUAUAGACAAUAAAAUUGGGGUUUGAAGAUUUUAAGUAAGACCAAGGACAAUUAAGUAUAGCACUGGGAUUAGAACCUAGGACUGUCAGAGACUCCAAACAUUCUUCAUUCCUUUGUCUACAACAUCAUGGUAUCUUAAAAUGCUUUCAUAUCUGUUUGGUAUCCACUGCCCAUCCGCCCAGAAGAAUGGAGAGGACACAAGGGAGAACUUGUAUCAGGAAAAAAGGUAUUUCAAAUAAUCCUAAUAAAGGCACCUGGAUAGCCAUGGGCCAGCAUUAAACUUGUGAGAACCUCCAAAAAAAUUAUAAGCAAAAAUGGGGUUCAAUUAAAAACAAAUUGUAUUUCCCAUUUUUACCCCCAACCAUAAUUACUCCAAUCAUCUCUCCCCAUAAAUCUCAUGAGUCUUAGAGACAAAAGAACUCUCUUACCAACAAUUAUCGACACUUAAUUUUAAGCUAACCCAACACAUUGAUGACUCUUCACUCGUGUUGUAGAUUUGAUUCUUCCCUAUAUAAUGGGAAUGAUUAGAACGGACAGGCAUUCAAUAAACCUUGCCUAGCUCUUUCCAUUUCACCAGAUUGAAAAGGUUAUUUUAGGUUACUUUUUCUAAAGUUUUAACAAGAGAAAAGAACAAUGACUCAGAUACUAUUUCAUGGAAAUGUUUUUUGAAAGCAAUCUUAACACAGUACACUGUUAAGCCUCAGUACUGAUGCAAGCAGUCCAUCCAAAACUGGCAAGAUCCGUCUGAAUUUUUAGAAAACAAAAGAUAUCUGACCUUUUAAGGACUCCCAAUAUUUUUCCAUGUUCUCGGAUAUUUUUUAAUCUCUUUAACUAAUCCUCCUUCAUUGUGUUAAGAACCUGCUAAUGCUGAUGGCUGUUCCUGCAGCACUAACUUUUAGGCUGCUAAUUUUAGGUAUAGCCAAUGGACAGUGCUUGCGUGUCUAUAGCCAUCUUCAAUUAUCUAGUUGUUGAAAGCAGAACAAUUAAGAAUGCACCAUAAACUGAAUGGCAAUAAACACAUUGCCUAUUUCUGUUUUAUUUCCAACUUUUAUUGUAAGUUCAUGGGUACGUGUGCAGGAUGUGCAGGUUUGUUACAUAGGUAAAUGUCUGCCAUGAUGCUUUGCUGCACAGAUCAUCCUAUCACCUAGGUAGUAAGGCCAGCAUCCAAUAGCUAUUAUUCCUGAUGCUCUCCCUCCUCCCACGCCCCCACCCUACAACAGGCCCCAGUGUGUGUUGUUCUCCCCUAUGUGUCCAUAUGUUCUCAUCAUUCAGUUCCCACUUAUAAGUGAGAACAGGCAGUAUUUGGUUUUCUGUUCCUGCAUUAGUUUGCUGAGGAUACGGGCUUCCAGCUCCAUUCAUGUCCCUGCAAAGGACAUGAUAUUGUUUCUUUUUAUGGCUGCAUAGUAUUCCAUGGUGUAUAAAGUUACUUGUAUUUGAGAAUACAGUCAUUUGCCAAUUCACCUCAUGAAGCUCACCAAAAUGAACAGAGUUCUGGAAUCUUUCACAACUAUUUUCUAAAUGGUAAAUGGCUUUGUUUAUACUGUUUAGGUAAAAUGUAACUUGACAUAAUACACCUUAAUAAAAAUUAAAACUGAUACAAAAAAAAUUCUAGCAAAUAGGAGACUGAGAAAAUACUAGCUUUAGGGUUACUAACUGUAUUAUGUGAGUGCAUGCAAAUAGGUUUUGUGGAUUAACUCUAAGAUUCUAAUAGAUAAAUAGGUAAACACUUGGCUGGUGGCAGCGGCAAACAGUGCAUAACCCUUUUAAAAGCAAUUUGGCAAUCUGUACCAAAAACCUUAAAAAUCUGCCUCUUUUAACCAACUUUGAUUCUACUGCUAGUGCCCUGGAAUUACUCUAAUCAUGUGGCCAUGGCAAGCCUUAAACACAGCUGGGCUACAUUUGAGAUUUUAUGGUGAAAAAUGAGAGAAAAUCAAUAUGCUGUUUGACAAUAAUUAUGUAAACUAUGGCAUGCCCCCCUUGUAGCAUAUUUCACCAUCACCAUAAACAAUAUGACUAUCAAUGAUUAUACAUUUGUAAUUAUAAAUUAUAACACUACAAAUGAUUAAUACAAUUAUGAUGACAUAAAAUGCAUAAAGUAUACACACACAUAGUGUGAUUACUUCUUGAUUAAAAACACACAAAUACAAACAUAACAAAAAGACUUUAAAAAACUACAUCAAAAUACUAAUAGUGGUAAUUUAUUAAUAGGGAGAUUAUAGGACUAUGGUUCUGAAUAAUAUUUAUUAAAUUAUAUUUUCAAGUCUACACUAUUUGCACAAUUUUUAUAAUUUAAAAAAUUUAAAUAGUAAAAAUAAAAUGUAAAAUAUCACAGGAAAAUAACUUUCCAACCAAAACCACACACAAAUGGAAUGUAAAUAUAUUUUGGUGUCAUUUUCAAGAUAAUAUAAUUUUACUUAGUUCAACAAAAACCUUGAGAAUAUUUAGCCCAAUCAGUGCUUUUUGUUUCUUUUCAAAGCCUUACUUUGGAGGAAGUAUUACAGUGGGCCCAGUCUUUUGAAAAUUUAAUGGCUACAAAAUAUGGUCCAGUAGUCUAUGCAGCAUAUUUAAAAAUGGAGCACAGUGACGAGAAUAUUCAAUUCUGGAUGGCAUGUGAAACCUAUAAGAAAAUUGCCUCACGGUGGAGCAGAAUUUCUAGGGCAAAGAAGCUUUAUAAGAUUUACAUCCAGCCACAGUCCCCUAGAGAGGUAACUACCUGACAAUGACAGGAAUGGAAAUCAGUUCAUCCCUGCAAGGGCAUUAAUAUCUGUCAAGCAUCCAUAAGUGCCAGGCACUUUACAUCCAGUAUCUCCUAAAAUGCUAUAAAUUCAGUAUUGCUAACCUUAUUUUACAGAUAAGAAACCUGAGACUCUGAGAACUUGUCCAGUGUCACACAGCCAUUAAGUGGUAAAGUUAAGAUUCAAAAUUAAAUCUAUCUGGCUCCAAAGCUUCUCCCCAUUAAAUUAUCUUAAUUUCUAGGAAACUUAAAAAGAAAAAAAGGAAUCUGUGGCGAAAGCAUUGGCCUUCCCAGCAGGAACUAUAAAUACCAUGAAGAGACAUUUGAGAAUCCUGUGUUGUUGGGCAAUGAGAAAUAAAAAGUCUGUUAAGGGAAUAAAGAGAGAGGACAGUAUAUGAGAUUUCUAUCGUACAGGGCAAGCCUACAUUGUGGACAUAUUCCAGAACUCUUAUCUGGAACAUACUUGGUUUAUUGAAAUAGCCACUUCUCCCCUCUAUUUAUCCACUUCUCUUCAUUUUCUUCCCAUUUCAGAGCAUAUUCAGUUAAAUCAACAUUUGUGACUAUUAAGGAAGAUAAAUUUUUAAAAAGCACCAAUUUCUCUUUUCUUUAAAAAGACGUUUGUCUUACAAACUUCCUGAUUUGUAGACUGCUACUAAGAAACCACUGCAUCUUCCUGAGUAAGCCAUGGUUUCGGAAACUUCCCUGGCCUUGAGCCUCAUAUUUUUCUUUUUUGUUCCUCUUGGAUGUGGAGUUGGAUAUUUACUUUUAAAAAAGCAAAAUGUUUAUUUUUUAUAUAUCUUCUUAGAUGCCUAUAAAACUACAAAGAAAAUUACCCUAUUCCACUGAAAAGGAGAGCAGGGAAUAAAUUAAACCUUUCUACUAUAGGUGCCUUUUUCUUAACUAUGCUUACUUAUGCUGUACAUGUAAUUUCACUUUUCAGAUUAACAUUGACAGUUCGACAAGAGAGACUAUCAUCAGGAACAUUCAGGAACCCACUGAAACAUGUUUUGAAGAAGCUCAGAAAAUAGUCUAUAUGCAUAUGGAAAGGGAUUCCUAUCCCAGAUUUCUAAAGUCAGAAAUGUACCAAAAACUGUUGAAAACUAUGCAGUCCAACAACAGUUUCUGACUACAAUUCAAAAGUUUAAAUAGAAAACAGUAUAUUGAAAGUGGUGGGUUUGAUCUUUUUAUUUAGAAACCCACAAAAUCAGGAACACAGUACAAAUAAAACAGAAAUCAAACUAUAAGUUGACUUUUAGUUCCUAAAAAGAAACAUAUUUCAAAAGCAAUGGAAUCUAGAAUUCUUAUAACAUGAAUAACAAAAUGUACAGCAUACCUAUGUAGUUCAAUUAAUAUAUAAGGAAAAGGAAGGUCUUUCUUCAUGAUACAAGCAUUAUAAAGUUUUUACUGUAGUAGUCAAUUAAUGGAUAUUUCCUUGUUAAUAAAAUUUUGUGUCAUAAUUUACAAA
This 5118-nucleotide small RNA is filed under the name Pan troglodytes (chimpanzee). RNAcentral describes it as "processed transcript". Lineage: Eukaryota; Metazoa; Chordata; Mammalia; Primates; Hominidae. The record is from RNAcentral.